AAAAUGUAGGCAUAAGUAACGAUAAUGCGGGCGAGAAACCCGCACACCGAAAAACUAAGGUUUCCACAGCUAUGCUAAUCAGCUGUGGGUUAGUCUGGACCUAAGGCGAACCCGAAAGGGACAGUCGAUGGCCAACGGGUUAAUAUUCCCGUACUGCUUAUUACUGUGAUGGGGUGACGGAGUGAUGAAAGCGCCGCGAACUGACGGAAUAGUUCGUUGAAGUACCUACCUAUAAGAUGCGCAGGCAAAUCCACGCGUCUUGGGGAAAUACGAUAGUACUCGGAGUCUUCGGACAAAGAGAUAGUGCGCCUAAGGGCUUCCAAGAAAAACCUCUAAACUUCAGGUAAUGAGCACCAGUACCGUAAACCGACACAGGUAGUUGAGGAGAGAAUCCUAAGGUGCUCGAGAGAUUCAUGGCUAAGGAAUUAGGCAAAAUAGACCCGUAACUUCGGGAGAAGGGUCGCCACGCCAUUGGCGUGGCCGCAGUGAAGAGGUCCAGGCGACUGUUUAUCAAAAACACAGGGCUCUGCAAAAUCGCAAGAUGAGGUAUAGGGCCUGACACCUGCCCGGUGCUGGGAGGUUAAGAGGAGAUGUUAUCUUCGGAGAAGCAUUGAAUUGAAGCCCCAGUAAACGGCGGCCGUAACAAUAACGGUCCUAAGGUAGCGAAAUUCCUUGUCGGGUAAGUUCCGACCUGCACGAAUGGUGUAACGAUCUGGACACUGUCUCAGCCAUGAGCUCGGUGAAAUUGUAGUAACGGUGAAGAUGCCGUUUACCCGCAGUGGGACGAAAAGACCCUGUGCACCUUUACUAUAGCUUAGUAUUGACCUUGGAUAAAUGAUGUGUAGGAUAGGUUGGAGACUUUGAAGCGGCGUCGCCAGGCGUUGUGGAGUCAUUGUUGAAAUACAACCCUUUGUUUAUCUGAGGCCUAACCCCGCUUUGCGGGGGACAUUGCUUGGUGGGUAGUUUGACUGGGGUGGUCGCCUCCAAAAGAGUAACGGAGGCUUCUAAAGGUUCCCUCAGUACGCUUGGUAACCGUGCGUAGAGUGCAAUGGCAUAAGGGAGCUUGACUGAGAGACAUACAGGUCGAUCAGGUACGAAAGUAGAGCAUAGUGAUCCGGUGGUUCCGCAUGGAAGGGCCAUCGCUCAAAGGAUAAAAGGUACGCCGGGGAUAACAGGCUGAUCUCCCCCAAGAGCUCAUAUCGACGGGGGGGUUUGGCACCUCGAUGUCGGCUCGUCACAUCCUGGGGCUGGAGAAGGUCCCAAGGGUUGGGCUGUUCGCCCAUUAAAGUGGCACGCGAGCUGGGUUCAGAACGUCGUGAGACAGUUCGGUCUCUAUCUACUGUGGGCGCAAGAAAUUUGAGUGGAUCUGAUUCUAGUACG
Molecule: ribosomal RNA, 1380 nt
Filed under: metagenome
Description: bacterial LSU rRNA
Rfam family: Bacterial large subunit ribosomal RNA
Source: RNAcentral